AUGCCUCCCCUCUACAUACUGCUCGGGCUUCUCCUCUUGCACACUGCUCCUUGGUGCUCCUCUGUAGCUGCAAAUGAAGACACUCUCACAUCAGACCAAGCACUUGCCGCCGGCGACAAGCUCGUCUCAAGAAACGGCAAGUUCGCCCUUGGCUUCUUCCAGCCAGCAGCAAGCAGCAUCAGUAAGUCCUCCCGCAAUGCCACCUCCCCUAGCUCCAGCUGGUACCUUGGCAUAUGGUUCAAUAGGAUCCCAGUUUUCACUACCGUGUGGGUUGCUAAUAGAGAGGAGCCCAUCACCCACCGCAACCUCAACCUGACACAGCUCAAGAUCUCAAGCGAUGGCAAUCUUGUCAUCGUGAACUAUGCCGCCAAAACUGAAUCCAUUGUUUGGUCCACUCACAUUGUCCAUGGUCGAACCAGUAGCAUAAACACCACCGCCUCUAUAGCCGUUGUUCUCUUGAAUAGUGGAAACCUUGCCCUACUCGCAAAUAGCCAAGACAUGUUGUGGCAGAGCUUCGACUACCCAACAGAUGUUGCGCUUCCUGGUGCCAAGUUGGGCCGGAAUAAGGUCCCCGGUUUCAUUCGUCGGUACAUAUCAAAGAAAAGCCUAAUUGAUAUUGGUCUAGGCUCAUACAGCAUUGAACUAGACAACACCGGGAUCGUCCUCAAGCACCGCAACCCCUCGGUAGUGUACUGGCAUUGGGCAUCCUCCAGAACAUCAUCGUUGAAUCUUGUACAAUUAAUCAAGACCACGUUAGAUUUGGAUCCCCGGACAAAAGGUUUGAUUAACCCAGCUUAUGUUGACAACGACCAAGAGGAGUACUACAUGUACACUUCACCGGAUGAAUCAUCGUCUUCUGUGUUUGUCUCAAUAGGCAUCUCUGGUCAGAUAAAGGUGAAUGUUUGGUCACAAGCCAGCCAGUCUUGGCAAAGCAUAUAUUCUGAGCCAGCCGAUCCCUGCACUCCGCCUGCUACGUGCGGACCUUUCACGGUCUGCAACGGCAUUGCACAUCCAUCUUGUGACUGUAUGGGGAGCUUCUCCCAGAAGUCACCGCAGGAUUGGGAGAUUGAGGAUCGAACAGGAGGAUGCAUCAGAAACACACCCUUACAUUGCAGCACAAGUCGUAACAACAAAAGCAUGGCAAGUUCAACAGACAUAUUCCACCCCAUUGCUCGAGUCGUAUUACCCUACAACCCGCAAAUUAUAGAUGUUGCUACCAGUCAAAGCAAAUGUGAGCAAGCAUGUCUUGGUUCCUGCUCCUGCACUGCUUAUUCCUAUAGCAAUAGCAGAUGCUCUAUCUGGCAUGGGGAAUUGUAUAGUGUAAAUUUUAAUGAUGGCAUUGAUAAUAAUUCUGAAGAUGUUCUUUAUCUUCGCCUUGCUGCCAAAGAUUUGCUACCAGGUUCUAGAAAAGAGAAAAGAAAACCAAAGGUCGGAGUUGUUACUAUUGUAAGUAUUAUUGGUUUUGGGUUAAUAAUGGUCAUCCUGCUGUUACUGAUUUGGAGGAACAAAUUCAAGAGGUGUGGUUUGCCUAUAUAUGACAAUCCAGGUAGUGCUAGUGGAAUUGUAGCCUUCAGAUACACUGACUUGGUUCGUGCUACUAAAAGCUUCUCAGAAAAGCUUGGAGGAGGUGGUUUUGGUUCUGUAUACAAGGGGGUGUUAAGUGACUCAACAACUACUAUAGCAGUGAAAAGGCUAGAUGGGGCCCGUCAAGGAGAGAAGCAAUUCAGGGCUGAGGUGAGCACAAUUGGACUGAUCCAACACAUAAACCUAGUGAAAUUGAUUGGUUUCUGCUGCGAAGGUGAUCACAGGUUACUUGUGUAUGAACACAUGUUAAAUGGGUCUCUUGAUGGUCAUCUAUUUAAGAAGAGCAAUGCAAAUGUUAUCGUCCUGAAUUGGAACAUCAGAUAUCAAAUAUCCCUAGGAGUUGCUAGAGGAUUGUGUUACUUGCAUCAGGGUUGUCAUGAGUGCAUUAUACACUGCGAUAUUAAGCCGGAGAACAUACUUCUGGAUGCAUCAUUUGUUCCUAAAGUUGCAGACUUUGGGUUGGCAACGUUUGUGGGAAGGGAUUUCAGCCGAAUUCUGACUUCAUUCAGAGGUACUGUGGGUUAUCUUGCCCCAGAGUGGCUUACUGGAGUGCCGAUCACACCGAAAGUCGACGUUUACGGCUUCGGCAUGGUGCUAUUGGAAAUUUUAUCAGGAAGGAGGAAUUCCUCACCUGAAACAUCGUAUAACACUAGUAGCAGCAACAGUGGUCAGAAUAUUGAAUACUUUCCUGUGCAAGCCAUCAGCAAGCUUCACGAUGGAGAUUUAAAGAGUUUGAUGGAUCCACAGUUACAUGGUUAUUUCAAUUUGGAAGAGGCUGAAAGGGUUUGCAAAGUUGCAUGUUGGUGCAUCCAAGAUAAUGAGUUGGAUUGGCCAACAAUGGGUGAAGUUGUCCGGGUUCUCGAGGGUCAACAUGACAUUGAUGUUCCUCCAAUGCCAAGAUUGCUUGCGGCUAUAACUGAACAAUCUGGUUCUGCAACUACAAUGUAA
This 2532-nucleotide ribosomal RNA is filed under the name Triticum aestivum (bread wheat). Its description in RNAcentral is "partial small subunit ribosomal RNA". Lineage: Eukaryota; Viridiplantae; Streptophyta; Magnoliopsida; Poales; Poaceae. The record is from RNAcentral.